RNAcentral lists this ribosomal RNA (253 nucleotides) under uncultured bacterium. RNAcentral describes it as "partial 16S ribosomal RNA". It matches the Rfam family "Bacterial small subunit ribosomal RNA", at positions 524 to 776 of the family's 1533-position model. The record is from RNAcentral.
GACGUAGGGCGCGAGCGUUGUCCGGAUUUAUUGGGCGUAAAGAGCUUGUAGGCGGUUUGUCGCGUCUGCUGUGAAAUCUCAAGGCUCAACCUUGAGCUUGCAGUGGGUACGGGCAGACUAGAGUGUGGUAGGGGAGACUGGAAUUCCUGGUGUAGCGGUGAAAUGCGCAGAUAUCAGGAGGAACACCGGUGGCGAAGGCGGAUCUCUGGGCCUGUUCUGACGCUGAGGCGCGAAAGCUAGGGGAGCGAACAGG